This is a long non-coding RNA of Sebastes umbrosus (honeycomb rockfish), 2849 nucleotides long. RefSeq lists it as uncharacterized. NCBI's taxonomy places the organism in Eukaryota, Metazoa, Chordata, Actinopteri, Perciformes, Sebastidae. The record is from RefSeq and is a predicted model, not a curated record. The transcript has 2 exons.
ACACACACACACACACACACACACACACACACUGACCUGAUGUUGGAGUACUGGUCACUUUAUUCCUCCACUGGGUGAACUGUUAACCUCCUCCACACCAAAUCCUGUAAAUCCUACUGUACCAGCUCGACGGCUCGCUGUUGAACAGACGUCACCUGAAAACACUGUCAGGGGACAGAAAAGGGACAGUAGAGGCAGAAGAUUUCAAGUUGGUUGAGGUUCAGGCGUCAAACUUCACAGUGAAGAAGGGCAGAGAUACAUUUGUUACCUGAUACCAAUAGAUCUCCAGUCUUUCACUUGCUGUGAAAUAGCGCUGUAAUUUGAGAAGGGGUGUCGGAUUGACAUGUAAUUGAGGAAGUUUUGAUUGUUGCCAUUUCAGAGCAUUUUUUGUGUGUAACUAUGUACUGAAAGAACACAAACAGGCUUCAUAAAAGACCAUCGUUUUGAACUUGUGAAAUGCUUUUAGUUCGCUAAUACUGUAAUGCCAACUCUGCCAGUUCUGGACUGACUGCACCUCCAGUGUCCAGUUGUCUCUGCUUUAAAGACGCUAUUUGUAGGAUUUAAAAACUGUAAAUUUGUCCCCCCAGUGGCAGUAUUGGAAAAAUACAGCAUGGUAUGUUGCUUCCUCUCCACCCUCUUGGAUCCAACCGGGGAACAUUGAGCUGAAUGGAUGGAUAGCAACCCGUUGUUUUCUGUAAGCACACACAGUUGAUGUGUGUCAAUGACGCGUUGUGGUCAGUGUGUACUACACGUUAGAUUGUACCAAUUUCUGCAGAGAUUUUCUCAUUUUUCUACAAAACAAAAACUCAUCAUAAACACUCUACACAGUAGCCUUGUUUCCAUUCACAUGGUUUUAUGUGCAUGGUAAAGUACUGCAGUAGAGAAGCUGUAUGGAAACGGCAAAUUCGGUAAAACUUACUCAUUUGAGAAAAAAAACGAUUUAAUGCUCAGUUGAGGUGGUUUUUGCCUUUAUCGAAAAAAGAGUUGAUGCGCCAAGUGGAUUAUAGAAACACCUAUGCUGAAUAAAUUCUGACGUAGUGAACAUUUAACUCACAUGACUGAUCAGCUGUUUCUGCUGUCGGCGUCUACUCAGAUAUUCCCAUAAUGUUCGAAAGCUGGUCUUCAUCUCAGGACAACAUGAAACAUGACCAACACUAGCUGACAUGAAAGAACUAUUAAAACAAAUUCCUGAAGACAUAUCUCCAUUUUUCUCUCGUAGAUGGUUUGAUGGCCAAGCCGACUUGUUGUGUUUGCGGUUUGCUACCUCUUCUUCUUCUACUCUGUUUACUUGCGGAUUAAAGCCAUGCUAGCCUAUAGCGCCAACUUCUGACCAAACUACGCUGUGGCUGACAAGCCGAGUUUAUUCGCACCAAAUCAGUUGAUGGAAACCAUGGAUGUAUUAAGAGAACUGGAUACAGCGUUGUAGGCGGGCUCCCGUUCAUUCCUAUCAGAGUUGCUCAGUAGCUCAUGAAGUCAAAAUGACUCGACUGCCGAGUGAAGAAGAACCCGGAUCAUCCGGCGAUCUUCUGCAUUCAUUGGGCCCAUAGAGCAGGCGCCUACUAGCGCUCAGUCCAGCCUCGAUCUGGGUCUCAUUCACAUGUAGGGACCUUCCUCCAUUCAUACUGGGGAGUUGAUUUACCUAAAAAAAACUAUCCUCUGAUUUACAGAUGUCUCUUUCCCAAUAUAGGUCUAUGGGGAAAAAGUCAUUUUUGGGCCCAAUGGCAUCACGUGACCGACACGGGAGUUGUAGCACCGCCGUUUGGCCACUACUUCAAAGCCCUGCGCUCUUCCUGGGUGCCUGAUGGAAACACGCCUAAUUCACAUUAGUUUUCUUGCAACAUUUCAAAAGGUCGCUUAAAACGAUCUUGACAGUUGAAUGGAAACACAGCGAGUGUUGUUUGAACAGGGGAUGCUUCGGUCAUGUGUUAAGAACUGACAGUUACACAUUUUCAAUUUUACAAAUUCAGUUAAUAUCUUUUUCAAUUCUUCUUUUUAAUAAACCAAAUUUAGAUUUAAAUUUGUUUAUGUCAAAACAUCUCAUUAUCAUAUUUUUUCACCCUCAAAUAUUGAUAUCGGUAUCCGCGUCAAAAAUCCAGUAUUGGUUGGGCUCACUUCAUUUUUUUGUUCUCUAAAUAUCUUCCCUACUGCAGCUUUGAACAGGAAUGUGUUGCUCAUAUGUUCUCGGACAGUUCAUGUCUGUAACAAGCAGCUGAUUCUUCAAACUGCAGUAUGAACAACAGACCGACUCUUAACAUCAUCCAGAGAUAUCUUCUGGACAGAUUUAAAUGAACAGAUUGAACUUGAACAUUUUAGCAGUCUGUCAUAACAAACAAAUAAUAAUUACAAAUACUAUUUAACUUUUCCUAACUUUUAUUAUGAAUCUUUGAUUUGAUGGUUUAUUCCAUUUGGAGCCAACAUGUCCGACUGAACUGCCCCAGAUAUGAAAAACACACUGUUCAUAAACUCGGUGUCCAGGAAGUCAUUACUGUAAACUUUACUCAUGUACCCUGAAAGAUUCAAGAUUCAUCAGUGUUGUAUUAUUGUGAAGAAAUAUUUCAGGAAUUGUUAAAUUUCCUUAUGAGCCGUCUACUUCCUGUUCUCAUAUUUUCCACUGACUGUAUAUAAGCUCUUUGUUUCCUGUUGUCCUUUCCAAACUGUUCACCUUGGAGCCUUUUCUUUAUUUGUUGUAUUUAUUUGUGUUGACUUGAUUUUAAUUUGUUUGUUUCGGAUUGAUUUUUCAAAAGCUGUCUUUUGGGAUGGAUGUGAAGUAGACAUACAGCUUGAUUUAGACAUUUCCUUGCAUUUCAAAAGUUUUGGUUUCUUGACAAAAAUAAACAUCAGAGUUCCUA